RNAcentral lists this long non-coding RNA (332 nucleotides) under Panax ginseng (ginseng). RNAcentral describes it as "long non-coding RNA (PGIN_LNC017731)". Lineage: Eukaryota; Viridiplantae; Streptophyta; Magnoliopsida; Apiales; Araliaceae. The record is from RNAcentral.
UUGUCUAUAAUACCCUUCACCUCACUUAUCUCAUAAAUAUGGAUCAAAAGAUUAGGUAGAAUAAUAAGGAGCAAUUUAAAAAAAAUAGUAAUCAAUUCUCCUAUAUAACCACAAACGAUAAAUAAUUAAGAAUAAAAAAAAAGUCAGAGAGUAAUUAGUAAAGGAGGAGGGGCAUGAAUUUGAAAUUCAAAUUCCCCCAGAAAGAAGGCAUCGGAAACUUUAGACAAAAGACCUUGUAAUAUGCAGAAUCCCAUGUUUACCUGCCUCUCUGCAUCUGGGAUAGUGCGCUACUCACUUGUCCACCAUAAUCACACACACAUGCAAAUCCAAAC